GUCUGCUUCUGUAUCAUUGGCCCUGGUGACUCUCUCCCAGUCCCUCGUGGGUGCAGUCUUCCCUCAGGGUCAAUGCUGUCUUCCUCAAGCUCUUUAGAAGAAGAAUGUGGAACCUGUUCUGUCAUCUCCAUAUCUAAAAGUGAAAUACUAUUAACUGCUGUGCUCCUCUCUCUUUUUAAAUAGGGCUCAAUCUCAGUUCUUUCUCAUUCCCCAUCCUUUCCUAGAGAGGAUAAAUCUGCUGCAAGUUUAAGAUGAAUUUAGUGUGAAGGACAGUGGAAAAGGAGACAGUGAAUUGAACGACAGCAUUUCUGAUAUCAGCAGAGAGGGCUUCAAAAAAGCAUCCUAUCAAAUGACUGCAAAGCAAAUUGAGUAUUCAAAACAAGAAACAUUUAAGGAUCCUGAAAGAUUAAACCAUGUAUUCCAAACAAGCAAGUAUCUUUUACCAUGAAAAUACCUGCAGGAUUGAACUUUCUUCAAAGACCCUGGUCUCUCAGAUUCCCCAGCUGAGAAGUAUGAAUUUCCAACCAGAGCACUCAGAACUCAAAUGAUGUUACUUUCAAGUCUUUGCUUCCCAAAGUGAAGAGCUGCCAAGUGUAUAUGACAGAGUUCAAAACCACAAGCCAGCAAUGCUGUCUGCCCCUUUUCUGGACAGAAUGAGGAAUUAAAUCAUCCUUCAGGGGACGGAUCACCUUGGUAUCCCUCAGAAAUAGCCACUUCAUUCUGAAAGGCUGCAACUCAUUUAGAAAGCUAUGUUUUGGGAAUCUAUACAUUUACAUAUCUGUCAAGUAUUUGUAAACCAAGUUAUAUGCAUGUGCCUCCUGUAGUUUUGUUAUGUCUCCUUCAGUUAUGUCAGUGGUCAAUGACAGCACAUGAUGAUCUUUUAUAAUUCAUGAUAUUUUAUGAAAAUCUUAAAAAUGGUCUUUAUUGUCAUGAAUAUAAUAAACAUUUUAUAUUCUACUAUCAUUUAUAAAUGCGAGUAAAAUAUUCAUUCUACCUGUUCAUUUACUUUUGAAUGCAUAUGUAUUUCUGUUGGGAAUACAACUCUGUUUCAGAAUAACUUUAGACUGAAUUAAGAACCUAGACCCAGCCUUAAUCAUGAAGCCAAGAAGGAAGAAGCAGAAGCUGUGGACAGGCAGCAUUGAGGUGUAGGGUACCCAAAUCAUCUGUCUAGCUUGGUGUUGGAGAGGGUUGCUGAGUGUUUAAUGAGGAUAACAGUGGCAGAUUUUGGCCCGGUGAAAAUCAUGUGUUUCUGGGCACUGCAUUCCAUUCCUAGCCACAGCUCAGUCAGAGGCUGGAGCUAAAAGAGCAGAAGUGGCAACUAAAGAGAAUGUAUUAUGGCUUAGGACAUCUGGGUUAAAGUUCCUACAGGACUCCUCACCUCUCUGUAAACAGAAAGCUGGGAGGAAACUGAGGCAGAAGAGCAGGAGCAAAAGAAAGAACUAGACCUAAAAUGAAGUGGCUCGGGGCCUAUGUGAGCAGGUGGAUCUCAUCUGUAUAUAACCAGAUCCAGGGGCAGCAAAACUGGGCAUGUGGUGGGAUGGAAGCAUCUGGAUUGUGCCUUAUUUUUGAAAAGACCGGCUCAUGCUGUGGGAAAAAUUAGAUCUUCAAGAGUAGGUCAUUAAAGUCUUCAACUGAAAGAGUCUGAGUUUGUUAAGAUCUGACAGGCAAGAACUUUACUGCCCAGUACAAUAAUUACUGUUUAAGUUUAAGUGAAUUAAAAUUCAAUACAAUAAAAAGUUGAUUUAUUGGUUACAGUAGCCACAUUUUGAUUGCUCAGUAUGCAUACCUGUGUAGUGGCUCCAGAAUUAAAGAGCAGCUAGAAAACACCUCCAUAACAGAAAAUUAUAAUGGAAAGCACUGGUCUGGAAGAGGUGGGUUGAGGAUCACCUCCGUGUGCUGGGGCUUGAGGGGAGCCUGUUCCCCACUAUUCCUACUCAGCUUAUGUAAAUUUGAGGUAGUAUGUUUUCAUCAGUUCUCUAUAAUUCCCUAGCCCGUGGCAGUUAGCUUUUAUCAGUUCAUGUAUUUCAAGUAGAUUGACAUAUUAUGUGAUUUAUUGUAAAAUCUUUGGAAAUUUUCUAAUAAGAAUUUUCAAGUACAAGGUUUUCUGUAGGCUAGGGAAUUUCCAAAGUCUCAGCUGUGCUAGUUAACACCUUAAAUUUAUAGUCCUCAUAAUCAGUCCUAUAACCUUAGAGAUACUUUGGCAAUAGUCAUGAAUAAAACUACCUACUCUUUCUCAUAAACUCUUCCAAGAAAGAUUCAAGAGUUUUCAAGACCAGUAAGUCGUGCUUAGGCAAGAAGUUGGUAAAUACUUUUAACUCCUUUUAUCCAUGGAACUCCAAUAGAAAAUUAACUUUUUAAAAAAUAGUCUCUGGGUCCCAUGGUAUCUUCAGAGGUCAGGUUAUCUGUCAAAUGUCUCUUUUCCAGAUCAAGUGGUCUGGUCUCCAGAGAGAUGGCUGCAAAUGUGAAUGUAUUUUGCUUUACUUAAAAUACACCAAAAAGUAAAGUAGACACCUAUCUUUUGGGUUAUAUCUAGUAAUUUUUGAAAUUUAUUGGAGUAUAGCUAUCCCUUGGUAUCCACAGGGGAUAGUUUUGCUGUUUUCUAGAACUUCCCAUGAAUACUAAAAUCCCUUUUAUCAAAUGAUGUAAUAUUUUUAUAUAACCCAUACAUAGUCCCACAUACUUUAAGUCAUCUCUACAUGACUUACCAUACUUAAUACAAUUUAAAGGCUAUGUAAAUAGUUUUUAUACUAUAUUGUUUCGGGAUUAAUGACAAGAAAAAAGUUUGUAAUUGUUUAAUUCAGAUGUAAUUUUUUUGAAUUUUUUCAUCUAUAGUUUUUUCAAUUCAUGGAUGCAGAACCCAUAGAUAUGGAAGACCAAAUAUGAUUUGUUAUGUAAACGAAUUCUGUGGUGAACAUUUUUAAGCUAAAACUUUCCUUUAAAUUUAUAAAAAUAAAAUCAUAUAUGUUUGCUUUCCUUAAAACCAGGUUCAUAUAUAUUUAUAAUAUGAGCUGCUACUUUAAUUAUGAUUCCUGAAGCAAUUUAUAACUCCCAAAUCUUGUCCAUUUAUGACUAUAUUCUCAGAGAGAAAUAAUAAUAGGCAACAUUUAUCAAACAUGCACUAUGUAUAAGACUCUCUGCUAAAAGCUGUAUGUAAAUUAUUGUAUUUAUGUCUCAUAUUCAUUCCAUGAAGUAAUUACAUUAUUAUACCCAAUUUUUAGAUGAGGAAACAUGUCUAGAAAGGGCAAUUUCAUUCAUGUACCUUCCCAAGUAAUACCUCUUCCAACAGCAAGCACUAUGCAGAAUAUAAGUUGGUAUUGCCAUUAUGAAAAAUAGUAGGAGGGUUCCUCAAAAAAUUAAAAAUAAAACUACCUUAUGAUCCAGAAACUCCGUUACUGUGUAUCAAUCCAAAGGAAAGUGAAAUCAUUAUUUUAAGAGACAUCUGUACCUCCAUGUUCAUUGUAGCAUUAUUCACAAUAACCUUGGUAUGUAAUCAAACUCGUAUCUGUCAGUGGAUGAAUAGAAAAAAGAAUUAAAGAAAUUGUGAUAUAUAUGUGAAAUGCCUGUAUGGCAUUGCCAUAAAUAUAUAUAUAGAUAUGAGAUUAUUCAACUUUAAACUUACUAAAUUUUACCAUUUAUAAGAACCUGGAUGAAACUGGAGGACACUAUGUUAAUAAACCCAAUGCAGAAAGAAAAAUACCAUGUAAACUUGUGCAGUCUAAAAAAAAGUCAAGUACAUAAAAGCAAAGAGUAGAAUGGUAAUUACCAAGAGUGAAGGAUAGGGAAAGUGGGAAGAUGUAGGUCAAAGGGUACAAAGCUUCACUUAUGUAGGGUGAAUGAGUUGUACAGAACUAAUUUACACAUGAUGACUAUAGUUAAUAUUAGUGGAUCAUAUACUUAAAGUUUGCUAAGAGAAUAGAUGUAAAUGUCCACACCACAAAAAGAAAAGUUAGCUUUUUAGCUUUAGCUCAUCUAUAGUUACCAGUUCACUCUGUAUAUUAAAACUUCUCUACAUAUCUUAAAUAUAUAUAAUUUAAAAUUUAAAAAAUUUAAAAUGAAACCAAUGAUUCAAACAUCUUUCACAUCUAUUACUUUUUGAGAUUUAUAUAAAUAGAAUAUUUGAGAUUUAUAUAAAUAGAAUAAUAUAGUUCAUACUGGCUCAGAAUUAUGUGUAUGAGCUUCAUUCAGCUGUGUACUCCAGUAGUUUGUGCUUUCUUACUGCUGUGUACUACUUCACUGUAUGAAUUUUCCACAAUUUGUUUGAGCCUAUUGUGGUCAAUGGACAUUAGGAGAAUUCUUGGUUUUGAGCUUUUGUGAAAAAUAAAGGCCUAAAAUAACAUUUUUGGGUGGACAUGAACACUCAUUUCUCUGUAUUGCAUACUCAGAAGUAGAAUUGUUAGGUCAAGGGAUGAUGGAUGUAGGAUUUGAACCUGAAUUUCCUGGCUUCACUAUUAGGCAUUGUGCAAUAACUACUACAUCAGUAAAGCCAAUAAGGACUGAGAGAGCUCAAAGCUAUUUUUUUUUAGGAAGGCUUUUCGUUCAUUUGAGGUCUUUCUAUAAGAUUAAUAACAGCAGGGGAGGUUUUAUAUUUGUUCAAGAAAUAAGAAAGUCUUUUAAAUUAUCUUUAGCUCCUGUUUUACAAUGUACGUGGACCAUUUAGUAGCUUCUUUUUGAAAAGAACACAAUAAUACCCAUCUUUGACAGAAUUGUUUUGUUCAUUGAAAUAUAUAUGGUAAGAAUAGCAUUAGCAAUUGAUUAUUCAUUUACUUGUAUACUCUAAUUAGCUUAGGAAGAAACAAGUCAAUUUAAAGCCAAUUUCCAUAGUCUAUACAUGCACAGAAAUUGAUUGCAGACUUGAAUUUGCUGAAUAAAAAGUGAAGCUAGCUUAUCUCAAUUUGUAUUUCAUUGAGUAAAUGUCAGCUAUUGACUUCUGUAGCUUACUACUAGUGAGGCAAUAUGUCUGUCAUUCUUUACAGGCGGCACAGCACACUCACUGUGCAGUUUAAUUAGGUGUUGGCUAGUCAUUUCACUUGCUGAGGAAGAUGAAAUAUUUCACUAUAAUGGAAGGCAAAACCUCAGCCAGCUGCCUGUUCUACCACCUUCUUUCAGACUCUUAACUCAUCUUAAUUUAAUGCUCAUUGAUUCUUAUUGUUAGGUGUUGUACAGGGCAGCCCUUUUGUAAUGUGGCAUUGGAAAAUUGGCCUUAAACUGACUUUACAGGCCAACUCAAUUCUUUCAAGCUUUCUUGAACUUUUGACAAUGCAGCGCUACAUUUUAGGGGAAUGAUUUGACCUGUGUGUUACACAAUAGGUUUUCACAGUGUGCCUGGUUUUCUUAAAGAGUGAUCCAUGUUGCCAUUGUCAUAUAAGAUUUGUACACUACUCAACAAGUUUCAGUGCCUUCUGUCCAGGCACAGCACACUAUAGGCAAUAUUGCAUCAUAUGUGAACACAUCUAUUUAUGUAAAAAGUGGCCUGAAGUGACAGAGAA
This is a non-coding RNA of Heterocephalus glaber (naked mole-rat), 5486 nucleotides long. NCBI's taxonomy places the organism in Eukaryota, Metazoa, Chordata, Mammalia, Rodentia, Bathyergidae. The record is from RefSeq and is a predicted model, not a curated record.